This 2868-nucleotide ribosomal RNA is filed under the name Staphylococcus aureus. RNAcentral's name for it is "partial 23S ribosomal RNA". It matches the Rfam family "Bacterial large subunit ribosomal RNA". The record is from RNAcentral. Lineage: Bacteria; Bacillati; Bacillota; Bacilli; Caryophanales; Staphylococcaceae.
GAUUAAGUUAUUAAGGGCGCACGGUGGAUGCCUUGGCACUAGAAGCCGAUGAAGGACGUUACUAACGACGAUAUGCUUUGGGGAGCUGUAAGUAAGCUUUGAUCCAGAGAUUUCCGAAUGGGGAAACCCAGCAUGAGUUAUGUCAUGUUAUCGAUAUGUGAAUACAUAGCAUAUCAGAAGGCACACCCGGAGAACUGAAACAUCUUAGUACCCGGAGGAAGAGAAAGAAAAUUCGAUUCCCUUAGUAGCGGCGAGCGAAACGGGAAGAGCCCAAACCAACAAGCUUGCUUGUUGGGGUUGUAGGACACUCUAUACGGAGUUACAAAGGACGACAUUAGACGAAUCAUCUGGAAAGAUGAAUCAAAGAAGGUAAUAAUCCUGUAGUCGAAAAUGUUGUCUCUCUUGAGUGGAUCCUGAGUACGACGGAGCACGUGAAAUUCCGUCGGAAUCUGGGAGGACCAUCUCCUAAGGCUAAAUACUCUCUAGUGACCGAUAGUGAACCAGUACCGUGAGGGAAAGGUGAAAAGCACCCCGGAAGGGGAGUGAAAUAGAACCUGAAACCGUGUGCUUACAAGUAGUCAGAGCCCGUUAAUGGGUGAUGGCGUGCCUUUUGUAGAAUGAACCGGCGAGUUACGAUUUGAUGCAAGGUUAAGCAGUAAAUGUGGAGCCGUAGCGAAAGCGAGUCUGAAUAGGGCGUUUAGUAUUUGGUCGUAGACCCGAAACCAGGUGAUCUACCCUUGGUCAGGUUGAAGUUCAGGUAACACUGAAUGGAGGACCGAACCGACUUACGUUGAAAAGUGAGCGGAUGAACUGAGGGUAGCGGAGAAAUUCCAAUCGAACCUGGAGAUAGCUGGUUCUCUCCGAAAUAGCUUUAGGGCUAGCCUCAAGUGAUGAUUAUUGGAGGUAGAGCACUGUUUGGACGAGGGGCCCCUCUCGGGUUACCGAAUUCAGACAAACUCCGAAUGCCAAUUAAUUUAACUUGGGAGUCAGAACAUGGGUGAUAAGGUCCGUGUUCGAAAGGGAAACAGCCCAGACCACCAGCUAAGGUCCCAAAAUAUAUGUUAAGUGGAAAAGGAUGUGGCGUUGCCCAGACAACUAGGAUGUUGGCUUAGAAGCAGCCAUCAUUUAAAGAGUGCGUAAUAGCUCACUAGUCGAGUGACACUGCGCCGAAAAUGUACCGGGGCUAAACAUAUUACCGAAGCUGUGGAUUGUCCUUUGGACAAUGGUAGGAGAGCGUUCUAAGGGCGUUGAAGCAUGAUCGUAAGGACAUGUGGAGCGCUUAGAAGUGAGAAUGCCGGUGUGAGUAGCGAAAGACGGGUGAGAAUCCCGUCCACCGAUUGACUAAGGUUUCCAGAGGAAGGCUCGUCCGCUCUGGGUUAGUCGGGUCCUAAGCUGAGGCCGACAGGCGUAGGCGAUGGAUAACAGGUUGAUAUUCCUGUACCACCUAUAAUCGUUUUAAUCGAUGGGGGGACGCAGUAGGAUAGGCGAAGCGUGCGAUUGGAUUGCACGUCUAAGCAGUAAGGCUGAGUAUUAGGCAAAUCCGGUACUCGUUAAGGCUGAGCUGUGAUGGGGAGAAGACAUUGAGUCUUCGAGUCGUUGAUUUCACACUGCCGAGAAAAGCCUCUAGAUAGAAAAUAGGUGCCCGUACCGCAAACCGACACAGGUAGUCAAGAUGAGAAUUCUAAGGUGAGCGAGCGAACUCUCGUUAAGGAACUCGGCAAAAUGACCCCGUAACUUCGGGAGAAGGGGUGCUCUUUAGGGUUAACGCCCAGAAGAGCCGCAGUGAAUAGGCCCAAGCGACUGUUUAUCAAAAACACAGGUCUCUGCUAAACCGUAAGGUGAUGUAUAGGGGCUGACGCCUGCCCGGUGCUGGAAGGUUAAGAGGAGUGGUUAGCUUCUGCGAAGCUACGAAUCGAAGCCCCAGUAAACGGCGGCCGUAACUAUAACGGUCCUAAGGUAGCGAAAUUCCUUGUCGGGUAAGUUCCGACCCGCACGAAAGGCGUAACGAUUUGGGCACUGUCUCAACGAGAGACUCGGUGAAAUCAUAGUACCUGUGAAGAUGCAGGUUACCCGCGACAGGACGGAAAGACCCCGUGGAGCUUUACUGUAGCCUGAUAUUGAAAUUCGGCACAGCUUGUACAGGAUAGGUAGGAGCCUUUGAAACGUGAGCGCUAGCUUACGUGGAGGCGCUGGUGGGAUACUACCCUAGCUGUGUUGGCUUUCUAACCCGCACCACUUAUCGUGGUGGGAGACAGUGUCAGGCGGGCAGUUUGACUGGGGCGGUCGCCUCCUAAAAGGUAACGGAGGCGCUCAAAGGUUCCCUCAGAAUGGUUGGAAAUCAUUCAUAGAGUGUAAAGGCAUAAGGGAGCUUGACUGCGAGACCUACAAGUCGAGCAGGGUCGAAAGACGGACUUAGUGAUCCGGUGGUUCCGCAUGGAAGGGCCAUCGCUCAACGGAUAAAAGCUACCCCGGGGAUAACAGGCUUAUCUCCCCCAAGAGUUCACAUCGACGGGGAGGUUUGGCACCUCGAUGUCGGCUCAUCGCAUCCUGGGGCUGUAGUCGGUCCCAAGGGUUGGGCUGUUCGCCCAUUAAAGCGGUACGCGAGCUGGGUUCAGAACGUCGUGAGACAGUUCGGUCCCUAUCCGUCGUGGGCGUAGGAAAUUUGAGAGGAGCUGUCCUUAGUACGAGAGGACCGGGAUGGACAUACCUCUGGUGUACCAGUUGUCGUGCCAACGGCAUAGCUGGGUAGCUAUGUGUGGACGGGAUAAGUGCUGAAAGCAUCUAAGCAUGAAGCCCCCCUCAAGAUGAGAUUUCCCAACUUCGGUUAUAAGAUCCCUCAAAGAUGAUGAGGUUAAUAGGUUCGAGGUG